GAUGGACGCUGGCGGCGUGCCUAAUACGUGCAAGUCGAGCGAACGGACGAGAAGCUUGCUUCUCUGAUGUUAGCGGCGGACGGGUGAGUAACACGUGGAUAACCUACCUAUAAGACUGGGAUAACUUCGGGAAACCGGAGCUAAUACCGGAUGAUAUUUUGAACCGCAUGGUUCAAAAGUGAAAGACGGUCUUGCUGUCACUUAUAGAUGGAUCCGCGCUGCAUUAGCUAGUUGGUAAGGUAACGGCUUACCAAGGCAACGAUGCAUAGCCGACCUGAGAGGGUGAUCGGCCACACUGGAACUGAGACACGGUCCACACUCCUACGGGAGGCAGCAGUAGGGAAUCUUCCGCAAUGGGCGAAAGCCUGACGGAGCAACGCCGCGUGAGUGAUGAAGGUCUUCGGAUCGUAAAACUCUGUUAUUAGGGAAGAACAUAUGUGUAAGUAACUGUGCACAUCUUGACGGUACCUAAUCAGAAAGCCACGGCUAACUACGUG
RNAcentral lists this ribosomal RNA (497 nucleotides) under uncultured bacterium. RNAcentral's name for it is "partial 16S ribosomal RNA". It matches the Rfam family "Bacterial small subunit ribosomal RNA", at positions 28 to 507 of the family's 1533-position model. The record is from RNAcentral.